RNAcentral lists this unclassified non-coding RNA (390 nucleotides) under Hevea brasiliensis (rubber tree). Lineage: Eukaryota; Viridiplantae; Streptophyta; Magnoliopsida; Malpighiales; Euphorbiaceae. The record is from RNAcentral.
GUAGAAGUGAGGACACUAGCACUGCAACAACAUGGAAAGAUUGUCCUGUCAAGACUGUUUUUCCUUUUCCCAAGGGGAAUGUAUCAACCAGUUAUGAUGUCAAUGCUAGUUUGGACAAAAGAGAAGAAAAGAAGAAAACAGACAUAGGUGAUGUUAGGGUGGCAAUCAAAGAGCAGGUGGAUGAGGUUGGAAGAGCUUUAUACUUUGGGAAGUCUCAGGGGAGUACAGAGCAAAAGAAUUUAAGUGGCUUAAGUUUUUCUCUUGCAUCUGAUAAUCCAAAGGAAGAAUUCCCAAGGCUUCCACCUGUUAAACUCAAGUCAGAAGACAAACCAUUGAACAUUAAUUGGCAGGAACAGUUUGAGCGUGAUGGGCCAGUUGUGAAGCACAGCA